Myxocyprinus asiaticus (Chinese sucker) is the source of this 1254-nucleotide long non-coding RNA. RefSeq lists it as uncharacterized. The transcript is spliced from 4 exons. The record is from RefSeq and is a predicted model, not a curated record. Lineage: Eukaryota; Metazoa; Chordata; Actinopteri; Cypriniformes; Catostomidae.
AGGAAUUGAAAGAGACAGAGCCUAAGGAUACAUGGGAAAGGUGGCCAGGAGUCUUGAGAGUCAGAUUCUGGGAGAGUUAACCUGCAAACCGAAUUCAUUCUAGAACUGGACAAAAUCAUUCUACACGUCCUUUAUAUUUUCAAGGCCAAAGGCAAAGAUUGAAACAGACACAUCAAUGGUUGAUGAACAGCAGUUCUCCAUGGCCUUCCACUCCUCGGAGAGGACCCCACAGAUUUUACAAGACAUGUUUUGACUGUGAUAGCGAUGAAGAAAUGUCCCACAUUUCCAUUGGCAUGAGGACUCUCGCACCUUUGCUUACUCACUGCAAUUAUUUUAGAAGGUACCGUUGCAGUGGAUAACCUUGAAAAUCUUCCCCAAGCCAUGUACUUGCUGAUCUACAGGUGUGCACUGAAUUUGGAGUAUCCUCCAGUAUUAAAUCACACCCAUGAUUUCAUUCAAAGGGUGAUUUUGUCAUUUGGGCUUAAGUCCCUCAAACUGAAAAUACAAUCGCUUAAAAAUCUUCUGAUGCAGUAACGUCAUUGUGGCAUGAUGGAGCAUUUUUCAGUGUAACGAUUCAUGACAUCACUAAAGGAUGUGUUCUGUUUCCUGUUGGAAAACUGGUUGUUUGCUUAAUAAUGUUAAAUGAAUAGUUCACCCAAAAUUGAAAAUUCUCUCAUGAUUUAUUUAUCUUUAAGCCAUCCCAGAUGUGUAUGACUUUCCUUCUUCAACAGAACCGAAGUGAAGAUUUAUAAACACAUUUCAGCUCAGUUUGUCCAUACAAUGCAUGUAAAUGGGUGACAUCAGUCUGCUGGCUGUUUGACGGUUCAAAAGGAAUAUUUAGGCAGCAUAAGUCAUCCACAUGACUCCAGUCGAUCACUUAAUGUCUUCUGAAGCAAAUCGAUAAGUUGGUGUAAGAAACAAAUUGACACUUAAAACAUUUUUAAUUUUAAAUCGUUGAUUCCGCCCAACGCUGAUUCCUGUUUGAAAUGACCUAACUCUCACGUGACGUUCGUUCCUCUGUUGUGUACAAAGUGCACGCUUCUGACUCCUAGCGUUAACGCACCGUAGCGCUUACGUCACUGAUGCGUCGACUGCUGACAGGAAGCUAUUUUUUUUUUAUUUUAUUUAUUUUAUUUUUUUUUUAAAGUUAAAGUUUUAAUGAUCUAUUUAUUUUUUUACACAAACUAUUGAUUUGGUUCAGAAGACAUUACUUGAUCAACUGGAGUUGUGUGGAUUACUUUUAUGCUGCCUAAA